RNAcentral lists this transfer RNA (72 nucleotides) under Coprinellus micaceus. It matches the Rfam family "tRNA". Rfam says of the family: Transfer RNA (tRNA) molecules are approximately 80 nucleotides in length. Their secondary structure includes four short double-helical elements and three loops (D, anti-codon, and T loops). Lineage: Eukaryota; Fungi; Basidiomycota; Agaricomycetes; Agaricales; Psathyrellaceae. The record is from Rfam by way of RNAcentral.
UCUCUGUUAGUAUAUCGGUUAGUACACGCGCCUGUCACGCGCGAAAGCUGAGUUCGACUCCCAGACAGAGAG